Molecule: unclassified non-coding RNA, 198 nt
Filed under: uncultured Saccharomycetales
Lineage: Eukaryota; Fungi; Ascomycota; Saccharomycetes
Description: sequence contains ITS2
Rfam family: 5.8S ribosomal RNA (bases 1-52)
Source: RNAcentral
AACGCACAUUGCGCCCCCUGGUAUUCCGGGGGGCAUGCCUGUUCGAGCGUCAUUUCUCCCUCAAACCUCUGGUUUGGCGUUGAGUGAUACUCGGUUUACUUGAAAAACAUGAAAAGCAUAACUAUUAGGUUUUACCAACUCGUUAUACUAAUCUACAAGUUUGACCUCAAAUCAGGUAGGACUACCCGCUGAACUUAA